CAAAAGGCUCUUUUAAGAGCCACUCCAUCUACAAUAAAAGAGCUGU
This is a non-coding RNA of Gallus gallus (chicken), 46 nucleotides long. Lineage: Eukaryota; Metazoa; Chordata; Aves; Galliformes; Phasianidae. The record is from Rfam.